AGUGAACGCUGGCGGUAGGCCUAACACAUGCAAGUCGAACGGCAGCACAGUAAGAGCUUGCUCUUACGGGUGGCGAGUGGCGGACGGGUGAGGAAUACAUCGGAAUCUACUUUUUCGUGGGGGAUAACGUAGGGAAACUUACGCUAAUACCGCAUACGACCUACGGGUAAAAGCAGGGGAUCUUCGGACCUUGCGCGAUUGAAAGAGCCGAUGUCGGAUUAGCUAGUUGGCGGGGUAAAGGCCCACCAAGGCGACGAUCCGUAGCUGGUCUGAGAGGAUGAUCAGCCACACUGGAACUGAGGCACGGUCCAGACUCCUACGGGAGGCAGCAGUGGGGAAUAUUGGACAAUGGGCGCAAGCCUGAUCCAGCCAUACCGCGUGGGUGAAGAAGGCCUUCGGGUUGUAAAGCCCUUUUGUUGGGAAAGAAAAGCAGCAGGUUAAUACCCCGCUGUUCUGACGGUACCCAAAGAAUAAGCACCGGCUAACUUCGUG
Molecule: ribosomal RNA, 492 nt
Filed under: uncultured bacterium
Lineage: Bacteria
Description: partial 16S ribosomal RNA
Rfam family: Bacterial small subunit ribosomal RNA
Source: RNAcentral